This 342-nucleotide ribosomal RNA is filed under the name Triticum aestivum (bread wheat). Its description in RNAcentral is "partial small subunit ribosomal RNA". The record is from RNAcentral. Lineage: Eukaryota; Viridiplantae; Streptophyta; Magnoliopsida; Poales; Poaceae.
AUGACGAGCUCCACUUCAGCCUCCCGCCCCUCAUGGACCCAGUAUGGUCCACUUCCCACGGAGCGAUGUCCUGACUGCCCACACAACGCGCCACUGAUACGGUUGACUUCGAAGGAGGUCAAGAAUGGCAACUAUGGACGCGAGUUCGUGAAAUGCGAGAGCAAGCCAGAGGGGCAGAUCGUGAAGAAAUGCACACAUUUCGAAUGGCUGGAUGACUACGUUAAGCGGAUUCAAUUCAAUGGGGCCCCAACCCGGGAGCUCAAUCUGCCAUCGACAACAACGAAUUUGGUCUCUGAAAGUGCUGCUCUGACAGUUGGGGAUGCAGAUCUGAAGGGGAAAUAA